This 465-nucleotide ribosomal RNA is filed under the name Vreelandella stevensii. RNAcentral's name for it is "partial 16S ribosomal RNA". It matches the Rfam family "Bacterial small subunit ribosomal RNA", at positions 338 to 795 of the family's 1533-position model. The record is from RNAcentral. Lineage: Bacteria; Pseudomonadati; Pseudomonadota; Gammaproteobacteria; Oceanospirillales; Halomonadaceae.
CCUACGGGGUGCUGCAGUGGGGAAUAUUGGACAAUGGGCGAAAGCCUGAUCCAGCCAUGCCGCGUGUGUGAAGAAGGCCUUCGGGUUGUAAAGCACUUUCAGUGGGGAAGAAAGCCUUGGGGCUAAUACCCUCGAGGAAGGACAUCACCCACAGAAGAAGCACCGGCUAACUCCGUGCCAGCAGCCGCGGUAAUACGGAGGGUGCGAGCGUUAAUCGGAAUUACUGGGCGUAAAGCGCGCGUAGGCGGUCUGAUAAGCCGGUUGUGAAAGCCCCGGGCUCAACCUGGGAACGGCAUCCGGAACUGUCAGGCUAGAGUGCAGGAGAGGAAGGUAGAAUUCCCGGUGUAGCGGUGAAAUGCGUAGAGAUCGGGAGGAAUACCAGUGGCGAAGGCGGCCUUCUGGACUGACACUUACGCUGAGGUGCGAAAGCGUGGGUAGCAAACAGGAUUAGAUACCCCUGUAGUC